This 442-nucleotide ribosomal RNA is filed under the name uncultured bacterium. RNAcentral describes it as "partial 16S ribosomal RNA". It matches the Rfam family "Bacterial small subunit ribosomal RNA", at positions 338 to 795 of the family's 1533-position model. The record is from RNAcentral.
CCUACGGGGGGCAGCAGUGGGGAAUAUUGGGCAAUGGGCGCAAGCCUGACCCAGCAACGCCGCGUGAAGGAAGAAGGCUUUCGGGUUGUAAACUUCUUUUGUCAGGGAAGAGUAGAAGACGGUACCUGACGAAUAAGCCACGGCUAACUACGUGCCAGCAGCCGCGGUAAUACGUAGGUGGCAAGCGUUGUCCGGAUUUACUGGGUGUAAAGGGCGUGUAGCCGGGUUGACAAGUCAGAUGUGAAAUCCAUGGGCUCAACCUAUGGCCUGCAUUUGAAACUGUAGUUCUUGAGUACUGGAGAGGCAGACGGAAUUCCUAGUGUAGCGGUGAAAUGCGUAGAUAUUAGGAGGAACACCAGUGGCGAAGGCGGUCUGCUGGACAGCAACUGACGCUGAGGCGCGAAAGCGUGGGGAGCAAACAGGAUUAGAUACCCCAGUAGUC